Molecule: long non-coding RNA, 2660 nt
Filed under: Salmo salar (Atlantic salmon)
Lineage: Eukaryota; Metazoa; Chordata; Actinopteri; Salmoniformes; Salmonidae
Description: lncRNA (ENSSSAG00000089859.1, ENSSSAG00000090157.1)
Source: RNAcentral
CACACACACACACACACACACACACACACACACACACACACACACACACACACACACACAAUAUACACCACAUACAACACACUCCACAUACACACACACACACACACACACACACACACACACACACCAUACACACCACACACAAUACACACCACACACCACACACCAUACACUCUUCACCACAUAUACACACACGACUGCCACUGUUGGAAACUGGGCCAGCACUGCCCCAAGAGGAACCAGAGACCCUGUACAGGCAAACACACACACUCACACAUACACAUCUACAUCUCACACAGACUGCUACACAUCACACUGAUGCACUUGCACAGGUAAACACAUACUGAUACAAAAACAUGGACAUACUACACAGAUAUAUAUGAUUAAAUGUUUUGGACCUGAUGAAUGACACAUCACAUAUCGCAAGGCCCACAAUAUAGGUUCAAUGAUACAUCACAUAUCACAAGGCCCAAAAUAUAGGUUCAAUGAUACAUCUCAUAUCACAAGGCCCACAAUAUAGGUUCAAUGAUACAUCACAUAUCACAAGGCCCACAAUAUAGGUUCAAUGAUAUAUCACAUGUCGCAAGGCCCACAAUAUUUUCUAUGUAUAUAAACGAUGUAUGGAUGUGUUGUGGACAUGUAACAGUAUACGUUUCCUGCAUAACUGUAUUAAUUCUGCUUUUGUAAAACGGUGCACCUCUGCUACUGUAGAUUGUAGGUCAUGUUGAGCCAAUGCUAACCCAUAAAAACAUCAGUAACUUUGACAAACAUCCGCUCUAUAUUUUCUCUAUUGAAUAAAUAACUUUGUUAGCCUCGCUCAUCUACUUUUUAUUGAUAUUCUCACCAGUUAUCCCUGCUGGCAAAACAUAUUACUGUAUGCUCAAUAACCGGUUCUGCUCAUGUGGUUACAUACAUUUAGAAAUUAUUAGCAAACUCCCCAGUGGAUUAAAGUGGAUAAAAGGUAGUGAGAGCUUGGGGCAGCAGCGUAGACAGGGAUAACUGUGUGGCUGUGCAUAAGUAAAAGUGGCUGGGCUAACAUUUCCCGGCAAAAAUACCUGACAUAUUUAAGUGAAAAUUUGUGCAUCACAUUGGAUUAUUUAAAACAUAAUACAGGAUAAAUGUAACCAAAAAAUACCACAGUGCGAACUACGCAACCGCUUACUUCAACACUGCUGACAAAGCAGGCUGACUGUCUGAGUCCGACAGUAAGGAAACAUAAUGAAAUACACAACAUGUCUAUAACCUACAUACUCAGAGAGAGAGAAACAAACAAAGAAACAAACAAAAAAAGAUGAAAGAUUUUACAGCAGCAGACAAGUGAUAAAAUUGGAAAAAUGUUACUGUCACAAAAUACAGAUAAUGGAUGAAGUGUUCAGUCCGACAGUCCGACCUCAUGAAAUAAUCAACAUAUAUUAUUCGACCAGAUCGGCCAUUCCCAGUUAAAGAAGCUACAGUACAGAACCACAGGUAGAUUUAGGACCAUUGGAGGACCGCUGGACAUCAGCUCGCCACUGGAUUGGAAUAUGCACAAACAGCUUAUUGCACAAAGAAGCAAGGAAAAAUAGAAUUAAGCCCAAAAGUGCACACUGUUUACCAUAUUAAAACCGUGACACACACAAUACAAUACCAACACUUUAGGCCUAUAUCUUGAACUGUACGGCGGGUAUGAAAUUAAUAGCUCACUUUAAAUGAGCAAACGUUACUGUAUAGGCAUGAAAAUAUGAAAUGAUCAUACAUAGCCUAAUAUCAUGGCGGGUAUGAAUACAGAAGCUCACUUUGAAUCAAACACAUAUAGGCCUACCAGGGUAGACAUUAAAACAUUAGGCUACAUCUUAUGAAUAGUAAAUAUUCAGGUGUAACCUUUCUUGUGUGUUUCACGUUUUAAAGCACACGGCCUAGACGCCUAGGAUUGGUGUUGAAGAUGGAGAUUAUUGCAUCAUAGUCACUGAAUUCCCUUUCAAAGAACAACUGGGCUAGAUUGUUGAGACGAUCUGAUUGAUGUCUUGAUACGUCCUGUAGUGGAGAAGAGUCUCUCAACAGUACGUAAAGUCACUGGAAGGGUGAUGAUGGUCCUUAGUAGUCUAUUGACAAUGUCCAGGGAUUUGAAUUCCUGACCUCCCCCCAACCUUCCGACGCAGUUGCUGAAUAAACACGGUUAAUUCAGCAUUCUCAUCAGAGACAUGAUAGUGAUUGCAUGGUUCCAGCAGUGAUUCUUUCAGUAAUCCUAGACGCUGGCAGAAAGGCUGCUGCUGCUCUCAUUAUUCCAUAUGGAUCCUCCUGGAACCAGAUGUGCAGCUCAGUCAGACAGAUAGAGACAUAUAUAAGGAUUGGAAGCACCCCAAUUAGAUCCCAGGAACCGCCUGCAUUUUUCUACAUUUCCGAUUAGUCAGGAGACAAUACAAACGACAAAUCAAAUUCAUUUAUUUCAUUUGAUAUUGUCACGUCCUGACCAAUAUUUAGGUAUUAUUUCUAUUAUAUUUGGUCAGGACGUGGCAGAGGUAUAUUUGUUUUGUAUUAUGGGGUUUUGUGUGUGGUGUAGUGGGGUGUAUUAGUUUGGUAUAGGUUCUAGGUUUGUUUUUCUAUGUGUAGUUUUGGGUGCUGGACUCUCAAUUGGAGGCAGGUGUUUCUAGUUGCCUCUGAUUGGGAGUCCCAUAAGUAGG